CCUGUGAAACCACGGAACUGAAUGCUGGAGAGGGAAGCGGAAUUCCCCAUUGUAGCGGUGAAAUGCGUAGAUAUUGGGAGGAACACCUGUGGCGAAGGCGGCUUCCUGGACAGACACUGACGCUGAGGCGCGAAAGUCCAGGGGAGCGAUCGGGAUUAGAUACCCCGGUAGUCCCUGGCUGUAAACGAUGAACACUUGGUGUGGGGGGUGAUGAAAGUCCCUCUGUGCCGGAGAGAACUCAUUAAGUGUUCCGCCUGGGGAGUACGGCCGCAAGGCUGAAACUCAAAGGAAUUGACGGGGGCCCGCACAAGCGGUGGAGCAUGUGGUUUAAUUCGACGCAACGCGAAGAACCUUACCGGGGUUUGAACUGCACCUGAGCGAUCUAGAGAUGGAGAGGUUNCCUUAGGGGACAGGUGCAGAGGUGUUGCAUGGCUGUCGUCAGCUCGUGUCGUGAGAUGNUGGGUUAAGUCCCGCAACGAGCGCAACCCUUGUCUGUAGUNGCCAUCAGGUAAUGCUGGGCACUCUACGGAGACUGUCGGCGAGAAGCCGGAGGAAGGUGGGGAUGACGUCAAGUCCUCAUGGCCUUUAUGUCCCGGGCUACACACGUNCUNCAAUGGGCGGUACAGAGGGCAGCGAACCUGUGAAGGCAAGCGAAUCCCAGAAAACCGCUCUCAGUUCGGAUUGCAGUCUGCAACUCGACUGCAUGAAGUUGGAAUCGCUAGUAAUCGCGGAUCAGAACGCCGCGGUGAAUACGUUCCCGGGCCUUGUACACACCGCCCGUCACAUCAUGAAAGUGGGCUGUACUAGAAGCCGCCGGCCGAACCUUCGGGACCGGAGGCGUCGACGGUAUGGCUCAUGACUUGGGGUGAAGUCGUAACAAGGUAACC
This 887-nucleotide ribosomal RNA is filed under the name uncultured bacterium. Its description in RNAcentral is "bacterial SSU rRNA". It matches the Rfam family "Bacterial small subunit ribosomal RNA", at positions 624 to 1501 of the family's 1533-position model. The record is from RNAcentral.